Paramisgurnus dabryanus is the source of this 353-nucleotide non-coding RNA. NCBI's taxonomy places the organism in Eukaryota, Metazoa, Chordata, Actinopteri, Cypriniformes, Cobitidae. The record is from RefSeq and is a predicted model, not a curated record.
ACCAUGGCAAUCUAUGUGAUGAGAAUUUGUGCAAGACUUCCAGGGGACUAAAGUUCCAGAGCUGAUCUUAAUUUAUCAUCAACCACUGAAGCUACAAGGAGUAAUGCUUUUGUCCUGGAAAGCUGUAUUUGGUAUAUCCGACCUCUUCACAACAACUGAUUGGGAUUCUGUUAGGUGGUCCUCAGAAAAAAAUUGGAAGAUAAAGUGGUCCUUGGGCUGCAAAAGUUUGAGAAACACUGCUGUAGAGACAUAGGUAAGAAUACCUUGAAUUAAUUUUUUUUUUUUGAAGAGUACAGACAAAUUCCUAAUGAUGUUAUGGCAGAUGAUCUAAUAAAAAGCCGUUUUCAGCAAAA